Prionailurus viverrinus (fishing cat) is the source of this 157-nucleotide long non-coding RNA. RefSeq lists it as uncharacterized. NCBI's taxonomy places the organism in Eukaryota, Metazoa, Chordata, Mammalia, Carnivora, Felidae. The transcript is spliced from 3 exons. The record is from RefSeq and is a predicted model, not a curated record.
CCACUGCAGCCCCUUCCCUGGAGCCUGGCGGACCCAGUUCAUGCUGGAACUACUGAAGGUGAAUCCAGAGGCUACACCAGUGAGUCUCAGGGACACCCCAGGCUUCACCAUGUCUCCCCCAGACUCCACCAGCCGCACUGUCUCUCAUACAUAUCUC